GAUGAACGCUAGCGGCAGGCCUAAUACAUGCAAGUCGAGGGGUAGAAGAGGCUUGCUUCUUUGAGACCGGCGCACGGGUGCGCAACGCGUAUGCAACCUACCUUCAUCUGGGGGAUAGCCCGGAGAAAUCCGGAUUAAUACCGCAUAAAAUCACAGGAUGGCAUUAUCCAAUGAUCAAACAUUUAUGGGAUGGAGAUGGGCAUGCGUGUCAUUAGCUAGUUGGCGGGGUAACGGCCCACCAAGGCGACGAUGACUAGGGGAUCUGAGAGGAUGGCCCCCAACACUGGUACUGAGACACGGACCAGACUCCUACGGGAGGCAGCAGUAAGGAAUAUUGGUCAAUGGAGGCAACUCUGAACCAGCCAUGCCGCGUGCAGGAAGACUGCCCUAUGGGUUGUAAACUGCUUUUAUUCGGGAAUAAACCUUAUUACGUGUAAUAAGCUGAAUGUACCGAAGGAAUAAGGAUCGGCUAACUCCGUGCCAGCCGCCGCCGUAA
This 496-nucleotide ribosomal RNA is filed under the name uncultured bacterium. RNAcentral describes it as "partial 16S ribosomal RNA". It matches the Rfam family "Bacterial small subunit ribosomal RNA", at positions 28 to 523 of the family's 1533-position model. The record is from RNAcentral.